CUGGCUCAGGAUGAACGCUAGCUACAGGCUUAACACAUGCAAGUCGAGGGGCAGCAGGACGAUAGCUUGCUAUUGUUGCUGGCGACCGGCGCACGGGUGAGUAACGCGUAUCCAACCUUCCCCUUAGUAGGGCAUAGCCCGGUGAAAAUCGGAUUAAUACCCUAUGUUGUGUCAUGAGGACAUCUGAAUAACACUAAAGAUUUAUCGCUAAGGGAUGGGGAUGCGUCCGAUUAGGUAGUCGGCGGGGUAACGGCCCACCGAGCCCUCGAUCGGUAGGGUUCUGAGAGGAAGGUCCCCCACACUGGUACUGAGACACGGACCAGACUCCUACGGGAGGCAGCAGUGAGGAAUAUUGGUCAAUGGGCGUAAGCCUGAACCAGCCAAGUAGCGUGCAGGAUGACGGCCCUAUGGGUUGUAAACUGCUUUUAUACGGGGAUAAAGUGAGGGACGUGUCCCUUAUUGUAGGUACCGUAUGAAUAAGGACCGGCUAAUUCCGUGCCAGCAGCCGC
RNAcentral lists this ribosomal RNA (509 nucleotides) under uncultured bacterium. RNAcentral describes it as "bacterial SSU rRNA". It matches the Rfam family "Bacterial small subunit ribosomal RNA", at positions 19 to 518 of the family's 1533-position model. The record is from RNAcentral.